CACACUAUUACCCAUAAUUACCAGGAAUAUCGUAAAAAUUGUUGUUGAAAUUAACCGUCUUUAUUGGCAAGUGGAACUAACACCCACCACCCAAUAAGUUUAGGCCUGCAUGAGCUUGACUUGUCUUUUUGAGUAGUCACAGUCACCAUUUUCAAACAAAUUGACUAGCUAAUUUUUACCAUCCGUUGCGGUGUUUGUUGUUCGUGCCUUGAAAUAACACCAAAGGGCAAAGCCCGAGAAAGAAAAGAUAUUUAAAAAAAAAAAAGAGAGAGAGAGAGAGUGAAUUCCAGGGGUUCAAGUGAAAUCCCUUCAAAGGAAGAUAUUUCAUACGCAGUGUGGGUGGGUGGGUGCAUGUGAGAAACUUGUGCCUCUUUGUGCCUGAAGUGCUAUGCGUUGAUCUAUAUUGCUGCCAUGCGUUGUGACGCUGCGUGUUUCUGGAACUUGACAAAGAUGGUUCAAGACUGCGAUGGAGGUUUCCGUGGCGGACGAUCUCGGGAGUCCCGGAUUCAUGGGAGGUCGCCGGUGUCUCCAAAGACGAGGAUCCCAUGCCCUAGCAAGACCUGGACGACGCGUCGUCUUUGGUUUCCUCAAAUCAUAUCAACCGGUUCACAUGAAACCCUAAAGGUAUUGUAAGC
Rosa rugosa (rugosa rose) is the source of this 635-nucleotide long non-coding RNA. RefSeq lists it as uncharacterized. The record is from RefSeq and is a predicted model, not a curated record. The transcript is spliced from 2 exons. NCBI's taxonomy places the organism in Eukaryota, Viridiplantae, Streptophyta, Magnoliopsida, Rosales, Rosaceae.